Long non-coding RNA from Lolium perenne, 465 nucleotides. RefSeq lists it as uncharacterized. The record is from RefSeq and is a predicted model, not a curated record. NCBI's taxonomy places the organism in Eukaryota, Viridiplantae, Streptophyta, Magnoliopsida, Poales, Poaceae.
UCCACUGAAAGAGGAAGAUCUAGGGUGUCGAAGAGACCGCCAAGGAGAUCGACGGAUCAAGGAGGCGGGGGAAGUUGCCGGCACCGGCGGGCAGGGUACGUCACCAGUUGCCGAUAGUUCGCCGUCCUCAGUUCCCGUGAGAAAAUGUUCCGAAGUUUUGAACGUGCAUUGGAUGAUUUGGUUUGAGCUGUUGAUUCAUUAUUUGCAUAUAUGAAGGCCUCGUAUCAUCAAUAAUUCAGGGCAUUCCGUGGAGAAGCGCCAUCACGUUUAUGCUCACUUCGGGGAUGUGUCCGACCGUGUCUAAUCCAAUGUUGAGAGCCGCGAGCAAACCAGCGCAUCAAGUGACGAAGUACCAAAUUCUGGUUUUUAUCCAUCAAUUAGCUGUAAAUUUCCUCUGUCACUAAUUUAUUGAAGUGUAUCGUCGGUGCUGUCAAGGAUUUUGAAGAGGAUCAUGCAAGUGCCUUU